This 206-nucleotide ribosomal RNA is filed under the name uncultured bacterium. RNAcentral's name for it is "partial 16S ribosomal RNA". It matches the Rfam family "Bacterial small subunit ribosomal RNA", at positions 568 to 774 of the family's 1533-position model. The record is from RNAcentral.
UGCGUAGGCGGGUCUUUAAGUCAGGGGUGAAAUCCUGGAGCUCAACUCCAGAACUGCCUUUGAUACUGAGGAUCUUGAGUACGGGAGAGGUGAGUGGAACUGCGAGUGUAGAGGUGAAAUUCGUAGAUAUUCGCAAGAACACCAGUGGCGAAGGCGGCUCACUGGCCCGUUACUGACGCUGAGGCACGAAAGCGUGGGAGCAAACA